UACGUAGGGGGCAAGCGUUGUCCGGAAUCAUUGGGCGUAAAGCGCGUGUAGGCGGCCAGGUAAGUCCGUUCUGAAAUCCCGGGGCUCAACCCCGGGAGGCGGAUGGAUACUGCUUGGCUCGAGUCCGGAAGAGGCGAGUGGAAUUCCCGGUGUAGCGGUGAAAUGCGCAGAUAUGGCAUAGAACACCAAUUGCGAAGGCAGCUUACUACACAGUUAUUGACGCUGAGGCACGAAAGCGUGGGGAUCAAACAGG
Molecule: ribosomal RNA, 253 nt
Filed under: uncultured bacterium
Lineage: Bacteria
Description: partial 16S ribosomal RNA
Rfam family: Bacterial small subunit ribosomal RNA
Source: RNAcentral